This 461-nucleotide ribosomal RNA is filed under the name Bradyrhizobium sp. USDA 4393. Its description in RNAcentral is "bacterial LSU rRNA". It matches the Rfam family "Bacterial large subunit ribosomal RNA", at positions 1 to 422 of the family's 2925-position model. Lineage: Bacteria; Pseudomonadati; Pseudomonadota; Alphaproteobacteria; Hyphomicrobiales; Nitrobacteraceae. The record is from RNAcentral.
AAUCAAGUGCCUUAAGGGUGUUCGGUGGAUGCCUUGGCGCUGAGAGGCGAUGAAGGACGUGCUACGCUGCGAUAAGCCGUGGGGAGCUGCGAAGAAGCUUUGAUCCGCGGAUUUCCGAAUGGGGAAACCCACCUUCGAUAGCCGGAACUCCAAGACCUUGGUUUUGGGGUUCGAUUGGGAGACCGAGAGAAUUCAGGGCCGUGAGGUCUUGGAUUUCCGGUUAUCAAGAGAAGGUAUGAGAUCUCUGAAUACAUAGGAGGUUUCAAGCAAACCCAGGGAACUGAAACAUCUAAGUACCUGGAGGAAAGGACAUCAACCGAGACUCCGCUAGUAGUGGCGAGCGAACGCGGACCAGGCCAGUCAUGAAUGUAAGCCAACCAGAACCUGUCAGGAAAGCAGGGCCUCAGAGGGUGAUAGCCCCGUAUGGGUAAUGCGAACAUUCAUGCUCGAGUACGGCGGAA